This 491-nucleotide ribosomal RNA is filed under the name uncultured bacterium. RNAcentral's name for it is "partial 16S ribosomal RNA". It matches the Rfam family "Bacterial small subunit ribosomal RNA", at positions 29 to 507 of the family's 1533-position model. The record is from RNAcentral.
AGUGAACGCUGGCGGUAGGCCUAACACAUGCAAGUCGAACGGCAGCACAGUAAGAGCUUGCUCUUACGGGUGGCGAGUGGCGGACGGGUGAGGAAUACAUCGGAAUCUACUUUUUCGUGGGGGAUAACGUAGGGAAACUUACGCUAAUACCGCAUACGACCUACGGGUGAAAGCAGGGGAUCUUCGGACCUUGCGCGAUUGAAUGAGCCGAUGUCGGAUUAGCUAGUUGGCGGGGUAAAGGCCCACCAAGGCGACGAUCCGUAGCUGGUCUGAGAGGAUGAUCAGCCACACUGGAACUGAGACACGGCCCAGACUCCUACGGGAGGCAGCAGUGGGGAAUAUUGGAAAAUGGGCGCAAGCCUGAUCCAGCCAUACCGCGUGGGUGAAGAAGGCCUUCGGGUUGUAAAGCCCUUUUGUUGGGAAAGAAAAGCGGCAGGUUAAUCCCCGCUGUUCUGACGGUACCCAAAGAAUAAGCACCGGCUAACUUCGUG